AUCGAACGCUGGCGGCAGGCCUAACACAUGCAAGUCGAACGAGUGGCGGACGGGUGAGUAAGGUCUGGGAAACUGCCCGAUGGAGGGGGAUAACUACUGGAAACGGUAGCUAAUACCGCAUACCAUCGGAUGUGCCCAGAACGGAUUAGCUAGUAGGUGGGGUAAAGGCUCACCUAGGCGACGACACCUAGCUGGUCUGAGAGGAUGACCGGCCACUCUGGAACUGUACCCAGGUGCAGCCUCCUACGUGAGCCAGCAGUGGGGAAUAUUGCACAAUGGGCGAAAGCCUAAUGCGGCCAUGCGGGGGGUAUGUGGAGGCCCUUCGGGUUUUAAAGUACUUUCAGCGGGGCGGCGUUACCCGCAGAAGAAGCACCGGCUAACUCCGUGCCAGCAGCCGCGGUAAUAC
RNAcentral lists this ribosomal RNA (406 nucleotides) under uncultured bacterium. Its description in RNAcentral is "partial 16S ribosomal RNA". It matches the Rfam family "Bacterial small subunit ribosomal RNA", at positions 30 to 526 of the family's 1533-position model. The record is from RNAcentral.